Aedes albopictus (Asian tiger mosquito) is the source of this 70-nucleotide non-coding RNA. Lineage: Eukaryota; Metazoa; Arthropoda; Insecta; Diptera; Culicidae. The record is from Rfam.
UGUUCUGUGGUUUAGUUGGUGAAAGUGCCGGUCUAGCGAAUAGUCGUGGGUUCGAAUCCCACCAGAAUGC